AUGAGUCUCUAUUCUGUCAUUCUGCUUUCUGCCUUUGCAUAUGCAGCUUAUGGAAAUGAAAUCAAUCCAACCAAAACAGAGGUCUUUGCUGAUGAAGGUUCAAGUGUUACAUUAUCCUGCAGUUAUUCAUCUGCAUAUUAUCUUCACUGGUAUCGUCAGUAUCCUGGAUCAGCUCCUGGAUCAGCUCCUGAGUUCAUUGUGCUCAUCUCAGAUGGUUCAAAACAAACUAAGGAUUCCUAUGUAGAUUCUAGAUUCACAACCAAAGUCACUACAGUCAGUAAAGAAAAUCUUGUGGAUCUGGAGAUCUCCUCUGCAUCUAUAACAGACUCUGCUCUGUACUACUGCGCUCUGGAGCCCACAGUCACAGGAAACACAAGAAUGCUGUACAAAAACCUGACACAUACCCAACACCCAUAUCUGCUGUUUACACUAGAGAACACCCCUCGAUUCAACAAAAAACAGUAUACACGAAUUGUCAUUCACAGAAUAAAAAGAUAUAGGAUGACACACAAAGAUAAUUCAAGUAUUCAUAACGUUUUAUUAAAGCAACUAUGUUUAAAGAAGUGAUUAAAUCAUAUUUAGAUGCAUUUGCAUUUUGCCUGAUUGUGAAACAGGUGAGGUUUAUAUCUUAGGGGUAGUGUGUUGAACAGAGACUGAGUCAUACGAUAAUGAUACCCCUUUUAGUUAUUCUAAACAAAUGUCCAAGAGUAUAUCAGCGAGUAAAUAGCUCUAUAACAUAAAGAGGGAUAAAUAUAGUGGGGAUAAAGCAUUUGUUCAAAAAUCCUUCUUGAUAAAGAAUUUUUCAAGGUUUACAAAAUAAUAUCAGGUUAGCAAAUUCAAACUGAGCCUCAAAUCAUCCCAACAAACAAGCUCUUCAGUGAGCAUUUAACUAAUACAUUAGCAUACACAGUGAGGAUCUGACCUGAAUCUGAAAAUCAAAAUCGAAUUUAAAUCCAGGAGUAUUAACACUUUCAAACAUUCAUGUUAAUUUUAUUUGUUCAUUAAUAAUAAUUCAUGUUUGUGCUUUUCUUAAGGCAAGGAAAGAAAAGUUUAUUUAUAUAGCACAUUUUGUACACAAUGGUAAUUCAAAGUCCUUUACAUAAAAGAAAGUAAAAUAAUCAGGAAGAACAAAAAUAAAACAAGCAAUUUUAAAACUUUGGAAAUGAUUUAAAAUUUGACUUAUUUAAAAUGAAUUUAAAACAAGUAGAAAUAAAAAAAAAAUGAUUUUACCUAAAAUACAGUGAAUAUGUAAAAUACAGUGCAAUCAGUUCGGACAUCGCACAGUGCUUAUUCAACAAAUGCACAGCUAAACAGAUGGGUUUUGAGUCUAGAUUUAAAUGUGACUAGUGUUUUAGCACAUCUGAUCUCUUCUGGAAGCUGAUUCCAGCUGCGGGCGAUAAAUAAAUAAAGGAGGACUCCCCUUGUUUUGUGUGAACCCUUGGUAUUUCUAACUGACUCGAUCCUAAUGAUCUGAGUGCUCUGUUAGGUUUAUAUUCAGUGAACAUAUCUGGAUUGUAUUUUGGUCCUAGGUCAUUGAGUGACUUAUAGGCGAGUAAAAGUACUUUGAAAUCAAUCCUGAAUGUAACUGGAAGCCAGUGUAAGCACCUGAGGACUGGUGUGAUAUGCUUAGAUUUAUGUGUUAAAUAAAUAAAUAUAUACUCUAUUUAUAAUUCCUUGAAGAUAAAGCUUUCUUUUAAGAAAUGGCAGAACAAAAACAUGAGAAGCGGCAGACAGCAUCAUGACACAGAAAGCAGGAAGUUUGAGUGUGUUUGAGAGUGAAACUGCAGAGACUCACAGUAACACAGAUCUACAGCUCAGAGCACAGACAACAUUAACACACACCUGAUCUGACCUAGUCAACAUGGAAAAACACCUGCUUUUGAUUUUUAUUAUGACUUCAGGUAUAAUAUGACCUGAAAUCAUAAUUAAUAUUUUAUUAAUUACAGUAGUAGACACAUGUAAAUGGAAUAGUCUUGUUACUUGACUCACAAAUCAUUUUGUACAUUUGUUUUAGGUGUGAUGACUGCAGACCAGAUUAGACCGAAUCAAGAAAUUAGUGUCAUAAAGGAAGAUGAGACUGUGGCCCUCAGCUGCUCAUAUGAUUCUACCAUCAGUUAUGUUUACUGGUACAGACAGUAUCCUAAUGGAGAGCUUCAUUAUUUAAUAUACAAGCUUACAUGGUCAAGUAGUGGAGGUGGGAGCCCUGUGGAUUCUCGCUUUGAGUCGACUACAUCACGAACAUCCACUGAACUCACUAUUACUGGAGUAACUCUGUCAGAUUCAGCUCUCUAUUAUUGUGCUCUUAGAGUCAGAGCCCAGUGAUACAAAGUCUAUGUGAAGCCGUACAAAAACUCAAAUUCUUUUUCCUCUUUGAUGUCAAGCCAAAUCGAACCCACAAUCUAAAAUUAAC
Carassius auratus (goldfish) is the source of this 2410-nucleotide long non-coding RNA. The record is from Ensembl. Lineage: Eukaryota; Metazoa; Chordata; Actinopteri; Cypriniformes; Cyprinidae.